AGUUUGAUCCUGGCUCAGAACGAACGCUGGCGGCAGGCCUAACACAUGCAAGUCGGACGAGAAGGUUCCUUCGGGAACUGGAGAGUGGCGCACGGGUGAGUAACGCGUGGGGACCUACCUCUUAGUGGGGGAUAACGGUUGGAAACGACCGCUAAUACCGCAUACGCCCUUCGGGGGAAAGAUUUAUCGCUAAGAGAUGGACCCGCGUUGGAUUAGAUAGUUGGUGAGGUAACGGCUCACCAAGUCAGCGAUCCAUAGCUGGUUUGAGAGGAUGAUCAGCCACACUGGGACUGAGACACGGCCCAGACUCCUACGGGAGGCAGCAGUGGGGAAUAUUGGACAAUGGGGGCAACCCUGAUCCAGCCAUGCCGCGUGAGUGAAGAAGGCCUUCGGGUUGUAAAGCUCUUUCAGAUGCGAAGAUGAUGACGGUAACAUCAGAAGAAGCCCCGGCUAAUUUCGUGCCAGCAGCCGCGGUAAUACGAAAGGGGCUAGCGUUGUUCGGAUUUACUGGGCGUAAAGGGCACGCAGGCGGUCUUGCCAGUCAGGGGUGAAAGCCCGGGGCUCAACCCCGGAACUGCCUCUGAUACUG
This 589-nucleotide ribosomal RNA is filed under the name uncultured Alphaproteobacteria bacterium. Its description in RNAcentral is "bacterial SSU rRNA". It matches the Rfam family "Bacterial small subunit ribosomal RNA", at positions 10 to 635 of the family's 1533-position model. Lineage: Bacteria; Pseudomonadati; Pseudomonadota; Alphaproteobacteria. The record is from RNAcentral.